This 245-nucleotide ribosomal RNA is filed under the name uncultured bacterium. Its description in RNAcentral is "partial 16S ribosomal RNA". It matches the Rfam family "Bacterial small subunit ribosomal RNA", at positions 333 to 571 of the family's 1533-position model. The record is from RNAcentral.
UUUGCCCUACGGGCGCAGCAGUAGGGAAUUUUCGUCAAUGGGCGCAAGCCUGAACGAGCAAUGCCGCGUGAACGAGGAAGGUCUUCGGAUCGUAAAGUUCUGUUGAAGGGGAAAAAGAGCGGAGAGAGGAAAUGAACUCCGAUUGAUGUUACCCUUCGAGGAAGUCACGGCUAACUACGUGCCAGCAGCCGCGGGAAUACGUAGGUGGCGAGCGUUAUCCGGAAUGAUUGGGCGUAAAGGGGGCG